This 450-nucleotide ribosomal RNA is filed under the name uncultured bacterium. RNAcentral's name for it is "bacterial SSU rRNA". It matches the Rfam family "Bacterial small subunit ribosomal RNA", at positions 349 to 793 of the family's 1533-position model. The record is from RNAcentral.
CAGCAGUGGGGAAUAUUGCACAAUGGGCGCAAGCCUGAUGCAGCCAUGCCGCGUGUAUGAAGAAGGCCUUCGGGUUGUAAAGUACUUUCAGCAGUGAGGAAGGUGGAUAUGUUAAUAGCAUAUUCAUUUGACGUUAGCUGCAGAAGAAGCACCGGCUAACUCCGUGCCAGCAGCCGCGGUAAUACGGAGGGUGCGAGCGUUAAUCGGAAUUACUGGGCGUAAAGCGCAUGCAGGUGGUUGUUAAGUCAGAUGUGAAAGCCCGGGGCUCAACCUCGGAAUUGCAUUUGAAACUGGCAAACUAGAGUACUGUAGAGGGGGUAGAAUUUCAGGUGUAGCGGUGAAAUGCGUAGAGAUCUGAAGGAAUACCGGUGGCGAAGGCGGCCCCCUGGACAGAUACUGACACUCAGAUGCGAAAGCGUGGGGAGCAAACAGGAUUAGCUACCCUGGUAG